AAUUGUUUGGGUGCAGGCCCCUCCAAGACCCCUCAAGGAAGGAGACUGCAGGGAGGAGCAUCUGGCCUGUGCAGAGAUGUUUUCAGGAAUGAGCCUUCAGCAGGUAACAUUCUUCUGUGGACCAGCUGCACUAGUGCCUGUGAUCAGCAAACUGGUGCUGUGCUCCCUGGCAUCCCUGAAGCAGGCAAGAUGCUGCUGCAAGAACUGCUGGAAAUAAACCCUGGUACUGCCCUCGUGCAAAAAAGCUCCCACCCUGCAUAUUUACUGUGGAUAAUGUAAGGCCAGGUUAUGGGCCAUAAAAAUACUUAGGAGAUGUUUAGCAAUGUUAAACACAACCAUCUCCUGGUGGAAUAAGUGCACAUAGCUGCUGAGCAAUAGAGGUCCUCUGCCUGGCCGGUGACACCGCCUGCCCUCUGUGCUGCCUUUCUCAAUGGAGAGGCCCAGGGCUGAAGAGAGCAGCUGGUCGUGGGGGUCAGGGUUGGGGCACAUUGCAUUGCCGUUGCCCGUUUGGGAGAUCAAUAUGGGACUUCAGCCUCCGCCACUUCAGCACCUUUCACUGGCACUAUCCUCGCUUGCGUUUAAUGUGAAACAGGUCGGGUGUGUCCCAAGAUCAUAGGCAGUAUGAGUGUGUUGCUCAGAUUGCUCACAUGAGUUGUUUCCUACCUGGAUCCUUUGUCUCUGCUCCUGGAAACUGUCUUUUGAUGUGUAGCCCUCAAAGUAGGAGAGCAUGGAAACAAAACAGGCAUGGACGAAUGAAAAGAUGAGGACGCAAUAGCUCCAUCUCAGGUCCUGCUGUAAAAUAACUUCAUGCAUUGGUUUUCAGAGAGCUCGGUGACAAGUGUGAGGCAUCUUUUAAUUGAAAUACUGUGGACAGGAUGCCAAAAAUAAACCGCUUUUGUAUGCCCAAAGAAGCCACUGUAAACUUGUGAGGUGUCUUUCAGAACAGGACAAAGCUGCAUGGAAGUGCAAGAAAACAUGGCGUGGGGUUGUUUCCCCUCCCUGACCUAAUGUGAAGACUGGUUCUCCUGGUGGUGAGGUGUCCAGGCUUUUAAACAAGAUAGGAGCCCAUUUCCAGUUACACUAAUCAGGCCAAAUGUCAACGAAGCUGAUUUAAAUCCAUUCCCUCAAGCUCAGCUCCCUACCUGGGCUGUUGUUUUGCAAAGGAGCGUUGAUUACGAUUAGUGCUGAUAAUCACUUUUCUGAUAGAGGUGUUAUAAACCACGGUUUUAUCUUGUGGUAUCAGCACCAGCAAAGGGAGAAACCACAGCCAUGAAACUUUACACCACUUGCUGCAUUUGCUCAACCAGCUUGGUGCAAUAAAAGAGCUCACACAAAUCUCCUUUCAGAGCCUUUGCUUCCUUGUCUCAGGAUCGCAAACACCUGCAAAACUCUCUGCAAAUAUCUAAUCGCCACCUGUAAUGUGACCGAACGGUGGCACCAUUCCCAGCCUUCAUCACCUUCACUGUCCUGGGCAGGGAUUGCCAAAGUUGCUCUUUGCCUUCACUUUCUUUCAGCUUACGCAACUCUGCUGUUCAGCAUGUUGCAGAACAGCCUGGUGACUGAUGAAAUAGCUUGCAGAGAUGACA
This is a long non-coding RNA of Oxyura jamaicensis (ruddy duck), 1586 nucleotides long. RefSeq lists it as uncharacterized. Lineage: Eukaryota; Metazoa; Chordata; Aves; Anseriformes; Anatidae. The record is from RefSeq and is a predicted model, not a curated record. The transcript is spliced from 2 exons.